AUUGAACGCUGGCGGCAUGCUUUACACAUGCAAGUCGAACGGCAGCGCGGGCUUCUGCCUGGCGUCGCGUGGCGAACGGGCGAGUAAUACAUCGGAACGUGCCCAGCAGUGGGGGAUAGCUUGGCUAAAGCCGGAUUAAUACCGCAUACGACCUGAUGGUGAAAGCGGGGGAUCUUCGGACCUCGCGCUAUUGGAGCGGCCGAUGGCAGAUUAGCUAGUUGGUGGGGUAAAGGCCUACCAAGGCGACGAUCCGUAGCGGGUCUGAGAGGACGACCAGCCACACUGGAACUGAGACACGGCCCAGACUCCUACGGGAGGCAGCAGUGGGGAAUUUUGGACAAUGGGCGAAAGCCUGAUCCAGCAAUGCCGCGUGUGUGAUGAAGGCCUUCGGGUUGUAAAGCACUUUUGGCGGGAACGAAAAAGACUGUGCCAAUCCAACCGCUCGAUGACGGUACCCGCAGAAUAAGCACCGGCUAACUACGUG
Molecule: ribosomal RNA, 484 nt
Filed under: uncultured bacterium
Lineage: Bacteria
Description: partial 16S ribosomal RNA
Rfam family: Bacterial small subunit ribosomal RNA
Source: RNAcentral